UACGGGGGGGGCAAGCGUUGUUCGGAAUUACUGGGCGUAAAGGGCUCGUAGGCGGCCAACUAAGUCGGACGUGAAAUCCCCGGGCUCAACCCGGGAACUGCGUCCGAUACUGGAAGGCUUGAAUCCGGGAGAGGGAUGCGGAAUUCCAGGUGUAGCGGUGAAAUGCGUAGAUAUUGGGAGGAACACCAGUGGCGAAGGCGGCUCGCUGGACCGGAACUGACGCUGAGGCGCGAAAGCGUGGGGAGCAAACAGG
This 253-nucleotide ribosomal RNA is filed under the name uncultured bacterium. Its description in RNAcentral is "partial 16S ribosomal RNA". It matches the Rfam family "Bacterial small subunit ribosomal RNA", at positions 524 to 776 of the family's 1533-position model. The record is from RNAcentral.